AUGGCGGCGGUGCCGCGGCACUUGGGACCCGAUCGUCGAGUGGAACAAGUGGAAGAUGCCACCAAUGCGGCGGCGGCGGAAGAACUUGGGGGAGACGACGAGGAGAUCCUGCGGUUCAUGGACUCGGCGGAUGGCUACCUCCUCCUCAUGGAUUCGCUUUCCGCCGCUCUUCGCCAGGGUUGGCUUGAUCUGGCAAGUGCUCGUCACUCGAUGGGCGCAUCACGUGUUUCGAGUGUGCUGUUCGAUCAUAAGGAGCAAUCUGCAGCCACUAGGCUGCAAGUGGAUUAUUCUGCAGAUUUGCGACCAUCAGAAUCAAAGCCUCAUUUUGCUCUGUCAAAGUGGUGCUUGCAAGAAGAAUCAAACUCCAGUGAUGUUGUCAGUGCACAAGAUAGUACUAAACCAAAACUAAGGUACCGAGGAUCAGAAGCUACCUCAGAUGGUAGCAAUGAAUCAGAUGCAACUACUGCAAAAUCUUCUACGGGCGUUGACAUUUGCAGCCAGGUUCAAACUGCAAGAUCAAAAGCAUUAUCAAUGUUCAGCGCAUUGGUGUCUCCAAAACUACGAACAACCCAAGUUUCCUUUGAAUCAGCACUUGAACAAAUUGUGGAGCUAGCGAAUUCAAGAUCAACCAUGCUCUCUAGCUUCUCACAGAUAAAGCGCAGAUCAUGA
RNAcentral lists this ribosomal RNA (669 nucleotides) under Triticum aestivum (bread wheat). RNAcentral describes it as "partial small subunit ribosomal RNA". Lineage: Eukaryota; Viridiplantae; Streptophyta; Magnoliopsida; Poales; Poaceae. The record is from RNAcentral.